RNAcentral lists this ribosomal RNA (305 nucleotides) under uncultured bacterium. RNAcentral's name for it is "bacterial SSU rRNA". It matches the Rfam family "Bacterial small subunit ribosomal RNA", at positions 334 to 655 of the family's 1533-position model. The record is from RNAcentral.
GUUUCCUACGGGGGGCAGCAGUGGGGAAUAUUGCACAAUGGGGGAAACCCUGAUGCAGCAACGCCGCGUGAAGGAAGACGGUUUUCGGAUUGUAAACUUCUGUUCUUAGUGAAGAAGAAUGACGGUAGCUAAGGAGCAAGCCACGGCUAACUACGUGCCAGCAGCCGCGGUAAUACGUAGGUGGCAAGCGUUGUCCGGAAUUACUGGGUGUAAAGGGAGCGCAGGCGGGAAGCCAAGUCAGCUGUGAAAACUACGGGCUCAACUUGUCGACUGCAGUUGAAAUUGGGUUUCUUGAGUGAAGUAGG